RNAcentral lists this transfer RNA (71 nucleotides) under Colostethus pratti (Pratt's rocket frog). Its description in RNAcentral is "tRNA-Ile". It matches the Rfam family "tRNA". From Rfam's summary of the family: Transfer RNA (tRNA) molecules are approximately 80 nucleotides in length. Their secondary structure includes four short double-helical elements and three loops (D, anti-codon, and T loops). Further hydrogen bonds mediate the characteristic L-shaped molecular structure. tRNAs have two regions of fundamental functional importance: the anti-codon, which is responsible for specific mRNA codon recognition, and the 3' end, to which the tRNAs corresponding amino acid is attached (by aminoacyl-tRNA synthetases). tRNAs cope with the degeneracy of the genetic code in two manners: having more than one tRNA (with a specific anti-codon) for a particular amino acid; and 'wobble' base-pairing, i.e. permitting non-standard base-pairing at the 3rd anti-codon position. The record is from RNAcentral. Lineage: Eukaryota; Metazoa; Chordata; Amphibia; Anura; Dendrobatidae.
GGAAACGUGCCUGAAAACUAAGGACCUCCUUGAUAGGGAGAACCAUAUGGGUUAAAAUCCCCUCGCUUCCU